Molecule: long non-coding RNA, 396 nt
Filed under: Fukomys damarensis (Damara mole-rat)
Lineage: Eukaryota; Metazoa; Chordata; Mammalia; Rodentia; Bathyergidae
Description: lncRNA (ENSFDAG00000021847.1)
Source: RNAcentral
AUGAGACACUGUUUGUUUUUAAAGGUAAAGGCCGGGAAUUUGGCUCAGUGGUUCGGCCAUCUGUCUCAAAAGUGCAAAGCUGCCUUCAACCUCACAUAAAUCAGCAAAUGUCUUUGGAGAAAACAAACAUAAAAACCUCUUAAAGGACGUCAAGGAGAGCAUUGAGAAAGAGCUAAGGCAAAGACAGGACCAAGUGCAAAAGCGGCCCACUCUCUCUGCUGCUGUAGGUCCACUCCCCAUCAAGUUCAUGAAUCAUGUAAGCACAACUCAUUUGUCAAAAAACACAUUUAUAGGAAUCAGAAUUCCUUUAUGUGCAGGGGUUGCUGGAUUGCUUGCCAACUCUAACUAAAUAAUUCAUCAAGUCCUGAUUUGCUAGAAAUGUAAUACAAAAGGAAC